This 199-nucleotide unclassified non-coding RNA is filed under the name rhizosphere metagenome. RNAcentral describes it as "partial ribosomal RNA internal transcribed spacer region". The record is from RNAcentral.
GAAUGAAUGUAGAGUCGGUUGUCGCUGGUCCCUUCGGGGGCAUGUGCACGCCUUCUCUUUCAUCCACACACACCUGUGCACUCGUGAGACGGAAGCCCUCGGGCGUCCGUCUGCUCUACAUAAACUCAUAUCUAUAAUUCGAAUGUAAUUGAUGUAACACAUCUUUAAACUAAGUUUCAACAACGGAUCUCUUGGCUCU